Molecule: non-coding RNA, 121 nt
Filed under: Meiothermus ruber
Lineage: Bacteria; Thermotogati; Deinococcota; Deinococci; Thermales; Thermaceae
Description: FMN sequence
Rfam family: FMN riboswitch aptamer (RFN element)
About the family: The RFN element is a highly conserved domain that is found frequently in the 5'-untranslated regions of prokaryotic mRNAs that encode for flavin mononucleotide (FMN) biosynthesis and transport proteins. This element is a metabolite-dependent riboswitch that directly binds FMN in the absence of proteins. In Bacillus subtilis, the riboswitch most likely controls gene expression by causing premature transcription termination within the 5' untranslated region of the ribDEAHT operon and precluding access to the ribosome-binding site of ypaA mRNA.
Source: RNAcentral
GCCCUCCUUCAGGGCAGGGUGCAAUUCCCGACCGGCGGUGAAAGCCCGCGAAGCCCCCAAGGGGCCCGACUCAGUGGAAUCCUGAGGCCGACGGUAACAGUCCGGAUGGGAGAAGGAGGUG